GGAUGUUCCGGGGAGGAGUUGAAAUGUGUCUCAGAACAAGCGCAGAGGUGGUCAGGGAGGUUGUUUGCAACGUGGUCAGUUUGAAGGUUGCCUGUUGAAGGUGAUCAUGCAGUGUCUGUGCCUGUGAAGACUGAGUGAAAUGAGGUAUGCUGUAAAUGAUAUGGGGGAUCCUGACAAGUCCACUAAAAUGGACUAAAGAAAAUGGCAGUUUUUCACUGAAGAUGAAGUUGCAAGAUUAUGCACAAUUGACUGUAGAUAUGCACUCCAAAGGAGAUGAGGAGCUGACUAAGACUAAUCAGUAAAGAGGCUGCCUGCAAUCCUCUGGAGAGGACUCCACAAUAUGUGAGAAUCAGGUGGACUAUUUUGGAGAUAGUCACAGAAUCUAGAAGAUUACCUACAGAGUGAAAUGAGCUGAUAAACAAUGUCUCUUUGAGCCUGAAAUGCUGGCAGUGUUCCAGUAUUUUAUUCUCACCUUGAUUCUAAGACCAGCCUGUGUUGGAACUCCAGGUAUACUGUAAAGGAUGUGUGGGUUCUGAAGAGCCACAACUAAAGGGACUAAUUCCCUGAAGAUGACAUUGCAAGAAUGUACAUAUGAGAGGUCUCAAUCUGCAAGUGCCUUGGUGGAAUAAGUACCGUGUCUAUGAAGAAGUUGGUCUCUCCUUUAAUGUUAAAUGAGGUCUUAAUCUGGAAAGUGUCAUGGUGAGAAUAAGUUCUGAGUCUAUGAAGAUGUUGGUCUCUCCUUCAGUGUUAAAUGAGCAAUUGACAGAAGACUGAAGUCUCAUUGCACAUGGACCAAAAGGCUUUUUUUUUUUUUUAGGCAUUAAAUGGAUUUUCUAGAGUGUCAUCCUCCUAAUAAGAUUGCAAUUCUUUGGAACGACCCCUGUGAUUGUAAAGGUGGAAACCUUGAGUGCUGUACAGUAGUAUCAUGUAAUUUAAUUUAGAUACAAAUAAAGCUAGUCCAUAUCAAA
This is a long non-coding RNA of Polyodon spathula (Mississippi paddlefish), 968 nucleotides long. RefSeq lists it as uncharacterized. NCBI's taxonomy places the organism in Eukaryota, Metazoa, Chordata, Actinopteri, Acipenseriformes, Polyodontidae. The transcript is spliced from 11 exons. The record is from RefSeq and is a predicted model, not a curated record.